UAGAGUUUGAUCCUGGCUCAGAUUGAACGCUGGCGGCAGGCCUAACACAUGCAAGUCGAACGGUAACAGGAAACAGCUUGCUGUUUCGCUGACGAGUGGCGGACGGGUGAGUAAUGUCUGGGAAACUGCCUGAUGGAGGGGGAUAAGUAGCUGGAAACCGGUAGCUUAAUACCGGCAUAACGUCGCAAGACCAAAGAGGGGGACAUUCGGGCCUCUUGCCAUCAGAUGUGCCCAGAUGGGAUUAGCUAGUAGGUGGGGUAACGGCUCACUUAGGCGACGAUCCCUAGCUGGUCUGAGAGGAUGACCA
RNAcentral lists this ribosomal RNA (307 nucleotides) under uncultured Escherichia sp. Its description in RNAcentral is "bacterial SSU rRNA". It matches the Rfam family "Bacterial small subunit ribosomal RNA", at positions 1 to 306 of the family's 1533-position model. The record is from RNAcentral. Lineage: Bacteria; Pseudomonadati; Pseudomonadota; Gammaproteobacteria; Enterobacterales; Enterobacteriaceae.